Molecule: ribosomal RNA, 515 nt
Filed under: uncultured bacterium
Lineage: Bacteria
Description: partial 16S ribosomal RNA
Rfam family: Bacterial small subunit ribosomal RNA
Source: RNAcentral
GAUGAACGCUGGCGGCGUGCCUAAUACAUGCAAGUCGAGCGAAUGGAUUAAGAGCUUGCUCUUAUGAGGUUAGCGGCGGACGGGUGAGUAACACGUGGGUAACCUGCCCAUAAGACUGGGAUAACUCCGGGAAACCGGGGCUAAUACAGGAUAAUAUUUUGAACUGCAUGGUACACAAUUGAAAGGCGGCUUCGGCUGUCACUCAUGUAUGUACCCGCGUCGCAUUAGCUAGUUGGUGAGGUAACGGCGCACCAAGGCUACGAUGCGUAGCCGAUCUGAGAGGGUGAUCGGCCACACUGGGACUGAGACACGGCCCAGACUCCUACGGGAGGCAGCAGUAGGGAAUCUUCCGCAAUGGACGAAAGUCUGACGGAGCAACGCCGCGUGAGUGAUGAAGGCUUUCGGGUCGUAAAACUCUGUUGUUAGGGAAGAACAAGUGCUAGUUGAAUAAGCUGGCACCUUGACGGUACCUAACCAGAAAGCCACGGCUAACUACGUGCCAGCCGCCGCAGUAA